GCCUCUCUGUCGCUCAGUUGGUUAGAGCGCUGCAUUUGAAUCGCAGGACCGCGCAGGUUCGAUGCAUGCGGGAGGGC
This 77-nucleotide transfer RNA is filed under the name Paramuricea clavata. Its description in RNAcentral is "tRNA-Ser". The record is from RNAcentral. Lineage: Eukaryota; Metazoa; Cnidaria; Anthozoa; Malacalcyonacea; Plexauridae.